AAUGAAGCAAAUCGAUUUCAAACACAUAAAACAAAGAUUUUCCAUAUAAAUCUAUUUAUAAAGUGUGUAUAACACAUGGAUUGGGCUUCCAGCUGUACCUUUAGCACAAAUCCGUGCGCCUCUUCUCCGGUUUGGAGCAGUUGUUCAAAGAUGAGCACAGCAAACAACAAAGAUAAACAGCAGAAAGAUCCGCGCCUCCGAUCGCUCCUUUCAUCCACCUGUUUCCAGAGACGCAUUACCCAGCCCUCUCUCCCUGUAGGACGCCUAAAUCCGACGGACAUGCCUCAAUGUGGUCUGCGUGAAUCCAAAUAACUUCUUGGCGCAGAGUGAAGCACUAACUGCCGACACUCUUCCCUUCACCCUCUGCAUGAAUCUCCUGCAGAAAUUCGAUGUUGGAGCUUUUUUUUUUUUUUAUAUAUCACCAUCAGCACCCAUCCACUCCAUCAAAGUGCGCACAAGCACUCUCUGCAUCAGAUUAAAAGGCAUGCAUAACAACUAUAUGCAGCACAAGUGGGUGUUUAAAUCCUGCGCAAAGUUCAAAGCAAUUGCUCCCCAUCAUAGGGGAGUCUGACACGCGCUUGAACGCUCCCGGACUGCCAAUUUUUUACUGCACUCUGUCGACAAACCUGUAAUGUAAGCCACAACUGCCCACCAGUGAGGGACGUGCUAUCCUGGACCUACCUUGGCCGACGCUUUGAGGGCUGCGCAGAAAAUCUCAAGCUGCUGGAAGUUUGACUUACUCCUGAUCCCUCGGAGGAGUCGCACUGAGGGAGAGGACGGGCGCCGAUGCACAGCGCGCCAGCUUCAUUUGUGUGUGUGCGUGCGCGGGUGUGUGCGCGCGCGCGUCCACGGGCAAGAGAGAGAAAAAAUAGAACGCCGCCCCCAUUACACAUCUCUGGCCAUCAGUGCUGCUAUUUCUGCCUGCGCCAGUCGCACCAGGAUGGCUGUUCGGAGGAAAAGGCUUUGAAGAAUUGUCCAGGGGCAGCGGGGUUGCUGGAGACUGUCCAGGUUACUGUUGGGUGGAUGCGGAAUACAAACUGGACAAGGCGUCAAGGCAGUAAAUUUGACCUGCGGAAGAAGAUGGAUGGAUGGAACUCUCCUUAUAUGAGGCACUGAAAACUGAUAAAGAGCUACAGCCUUAGCUGUCUAUUGAAGUAAACUAGAGAAUAGAGACUAGGAAGAUAAACGGGAUGUCCUAUAGUGAACCAUGAAGAGGACUCACCAAGGUUGGAGACACUGGAAAGGACUUGCAUUGCUCAAUAGCUACUUGUGAACUCAUGAGCAAAGCAUAAGAACUUUGCAAAACAAGAUCUGACCACAAUCACAGUUUCAACUGGCAAUGAAGUUUUGUCACUGCAGUAGAAUCUGAUCAGAUUUCCUUUUUAAUUGUAGGCUUACUUUAUGUCAAACUCGUUCGAUAUAAAAUUGAUUUGGUAAUUUUUAUUUCUGUCUGUGGUCCAUGUUCCUCUAAAUUUACCCUAAAAGACAAUUUGACACUUGUGACUGGACAACAUAAUUACCACAGAUGCAUCGAUUCACACAAAAGAAACCAAAAUCUGCACCGUAAGCAGCCAUUGUGAAAUAUAAAAGACAGAAACAUACAAAUCUUGUGUUCAGAAGACUCACAUUUCAACAUGUUUAUAAAAGCAUUCACAUCCACGUGUGAGAUGCAGAUUGGUUUUAUAAGUGGACUGGUGUGGGUAAUAAAUCAUUUCCUGCUCACAUAAUAUUGCAAAUGACAAACUGUAUAUAGCUCAGAAUAUAUUUGUUCAGGAGAGUAUAUGUGUGCUCUGGUAGAAUUUUUUUUUUUUUCAUUUCCAGAGUCUGGGCUCCUGUGUAUGUGUGUGUAUACUGUGUGUGUGUUUAUGCAUCUAGGGCUUUAGCGUUUGUGUGAUCUGUGGCAUUAAACCUUGGGGCCUCAAUUUUACGCUGCAGCCUCGAGGUGGACUUAUGAAGUUAAACAAGCCACUUACAGUGAUGCACCAGGUGAGGCAUUGCUAAUGGAUGAUAUGAUUUACUGCCUUUUGAGCUUUUAUUAAACAGGCCACAUCACAUUGUUUUAAGGCUUUCUGCUCUUAAUCAUAUUUGAGCGUUUUGUGAUGUUUCAAAACAAGAUUUUAGAUUAACCUAUUUUCUUUGCUCCCUCCGCAGGUCUGCGUUGAUUUAUUCAAUUCCGAGGGUAUGAAGUGCUUGCUGUUACUAAGCUCACUGUUCAGAGGUAGAGCUGACUGUAAUCUUUAUGCAGUGCAUCACAGACAAAUGGGGGGAGAUUUGUAAAUGUUCAGAUUCAUCAGCUGCUUUCAGACAUAUUUUCAGCAGGUGUGAAACGAAAAUGCCAGCCUACUUCUUUGUUUAAAGAUGCAAGGUGAGACUAAGCACAAUUUCUGCCUGUAUUUUUUUUUUUUUUUUAUCCAACAGUCCCUAGUUUCUUUCAUUAGAAUAAGUGAGGUUCAACUAUUAUAGAGGGUUUUGUGGAGAUGCAGAAAAGCACUGGAUAUCUGUGGAAUAACUGUGAUUAGUAUUAUGUUUCUUAGUAAUGUUGAUCUCUGCUUACUUUUUAUGCACGUGUCCUCAAACAGUCAAAUAAAAGUGGCUAUUUUUUAAGAACAUGUAAAAAAGUUUUGUUGAUUCUCGCAGUCAAAAUGAAACAGCUCUGAGAGGAAGGAGGUGAGGAGUGAGUGAGGGGAGAACAAGUCAAUCUCAACUAUGAUAUUAAAGCAAAAAUUUAAAGAGCCUUUAUCAUGCUGUCCUCAAGCCUUUCAGAGGAUGUAUAUAUGGUAAUAUAUUACCUUUGGCGCACUAAAGGAU
Oryzias javanicus (javanese ricefish) is the source of this 2808-nucleotide long non-coding RNA. The record is from Ensembl. Lineage: Eukaryota; Metazoa; Chordata; Actinopteri; Beloniformes; Adrianichthyidae.